CCAGUAAGAAAUACGGGGCCGAUCGGGUCUGAUCGUAAGAACGACGAUCAGACCUACAGGGGCCGAUGCGGGUCUGAUUUUGAGACACGCAUCAGACCCGAAUCAAGGUAUUUUGCACCCGAAACGUCAACCUGUCAAGGUUGUUCGAACAUCGCGAGAGGCCUACGUGCGGGGCCGAGGUAAGAACGACGUCAUGGUGAAAAAUCGGACGCGCGUCAACCUAUUUUUGCCUUCUUCUUCUGUCAUCUGUCAUUGGAUUUGUUGUUAUAAAAAAGUGAUUUUCGUGUUUGCACCAAGUGCAAAUUUUGUUUAUUUCAUAAAAUUACAAGAAAUAAGUUGAUUUAUUCCCCGACCUUAAUGUUUUGAUUAAUAUACCACACAUUUGAUCACAUUAACACGAACUCGCCGGUAGGACAGCCUUCAAGAGCGAGUUCUAGGCUCGCGUGGACCGGUUCCGGAUCAUCCGUCGUUCCGAGGGUUUUUGCAGGAUCGUGGACCGGAUUCGGUUCCGGGAGCAAUUGUAGGGAGGCGAUCGUCCGCCGGCAAUCCUGUUCCAUCCAGCGUCGUUCCGAUGGUGCUUGCAGGGCUACGACCGUCCAUCGAGCUUGUUCCUUACAACGUCGUUCAGAAGGCACUUGCAAGCUGGCGACUCCCGGCGAACCUACUCUAGAGCCAUAGCCGUUCCGGAUUGCAAGAACCUAUUUAAAUAGGAAUAAAUAAACAAUUAGGUCACUACAUGUAGCAAAUGUACAAAUAAAUCACCAAGAUCUUGGACCGGAUUAGGUUGAUCUUGAUCGGACGUGUUCGUACAGUAUUUAAUCCGAGGUUCCGAGGGCAAUUGCAGGGCGGCGACCAUCCGCCAAGCCUGAUCCAUGCAGCGACUUUCCAAGGGAACUUGUAGGGCCAUAACCGUCCAUCGUGCCUUUCCCGUCCUGUUCAUUCCGUGCCUGUUCCGUGCUGACUGCAGGCCCGGCAAGCGAGCCUAUUCCGUCCAGUGCCAUUCCAACUUCCAGCAUUCCUCGAGCCAGGAACAUGAACCGGUUUCGGUUGAUCUUGACUUAAUCCACCGUUCUGAGGAAACUUGUAGGGCGAUGGCCAUCCGGCCAGCGUGUUCCGAGCUGUCUCGUUCGUAUUGAACUUGCAGGGUGGUGACAAUCGGUUGUGGCUUCUCCUUGCUGCGUAUCUCGAGGGAACUUCUUAAGCGGCCUGCGUAUCCGGCAAUCCAAGAGGCCGUGACGUUCGGCAUGUUCACCGGAACCACUCAGCUAGGCAGCUUCUACAUUCCCUGUGCUCAAUUUUGGUGGACGCUGCGGUCGAUGGAAGUUCUUUGGUCGAUCGAUCUGCGUCGCUCCGCGUGGCGCAACGGUGAGGGCGGAACUCCAAAACUGGUUUCCGUUUCCGUGCUUCCUGGUGGUGACGUUCGAAUUAUUUGACCUGAAAGAGGGGAUAUUUAGAUUGUGUAGAGAGGUUUCAGAAAUUACUGUUUGUACCUGUGCUCCAUUACCACCGGUUCUGCUGCUAGCGGUUACUUAUGUUAGUUCUCUUCGUCGUCAUAAUCCGACCGAUUUCCCCGCGGAUCAGACUAGUACUGGCUAGACUAGUACUGGCUGGCUAGCCUAGUCGGAAGCAGAAUAUUGGAAAGGACUGAAGUCAAUGCAACGCUUCAUGGUCUCCCGUGGGACCAUGUCACUGCGGUCACGAUCGUCCCGUUCGUCACAAUCCAUUCCCCGACGCUGCUGCUGGCCCGCUGGUUGACCCUUGGCCUUUGCUGGGUGUGGAUGAACCGCGGAUCCUACCGCUUUUGCCAUCACCCUGCUGCGGCUGGGCCAGUGGACGCUAGCCUACGCUUCUGGAACCUCGGUGGUAGAGUAGUUUACAAGUUCUUAGGCGGACGAGUAGGUGCACUUCUGACAGGAUGUACUGGGUUACAAUCUUGGUGGCUUUUCGGCAUGAUAGUUAGGGACCGGAUCAUGAAGAGCGGGAGUUCCGCCGUGCUGAUCCCUGAAUAGCCAGGGAUAUGCUUCUAUCAAGGGGCGUUUCUUGCCGGAGGUUGACAGGGAGCCGGUGCGCAGACCGGUGUUGAAGCGCUGUGGAAAUUUAUCAAGUUUAUUUAUGUUUUUAAUUAAUA
This is a long non-coding RNA of Culex pipiens pallens (northern house mosquito), 2128 nucleotides long. RefSeq lists it as uncharacterized. NCBI's taxonomy places the organism in Eukaryota, Metazoa, Arthropoda, Insecta, Diptera, Culicidae. The record is from RefSeq and is a predicted model, not a curated record. The transcript has 2 exons.